GCCAACGUGGUGUAGUGGUUUGAAUAUUGAACUAUGACUCUGGAGACCAGGGUUCAAUUCCCUACUAUUCCA
Non-coding RNA from Phrynosoma platyrhinos (Desert horned lizard), 72 nucleotides. The record is from the annotation of a GenBank genome assembly. NCBI's taxonomy places the organism in Eukaryota, Metazoa, Chordata, Lepidosauria, Squamata, Phrynosomatidae.